RNAcentral lists this ribosomal RNA (204 nucleotides) under Triticum aestivum (bread wheat). RNAcentral describes it as "partial small subunit ribosomal RNA". Lineage: Eukaryota; Viridiplantae; Streptophyta; Magnoliopsida; Poales; Poaceae. The record is from RNAcentral.
AUGCUAGACUGCGCAAACAGCAUCCCCGGACAUAUCCUCCUGCCUGCCCCGAACGGUGUGUACUCAAAGUUGGUUCCCUUGAAGUCCACUUCGCCGGACUCGAACCGCUCUGGCCUGAACUCUUCCGGGGCAUCCCAGUGCUUGGGGUCCCGACAGAUCGCCCACGUGUUCACAAACACGGUGGUGCCCGUCGGCACGUCGUAG